GCCUCGGUAGCUCAGUCGGCAGAGCGCGUGCCUUUUAAGCCCGUGGCCGCAGGUUCGAGCUCCGCCUGAGGUG
Molecule: non-coding RNA, 73 nt
Organism: Perkinsus marinus ATCC 50983
Lineage: Eukaryota; Perkinsozoa; Perkinsida; Perkinsidae
Source: Rfam